AUUGAACGCUGGCGGCAGGCCUAACACAUGCAAGUCGAACGGUAACAGGAAACAGCUUGCUGUUUCGCUGACGAGUGGCGGACGGGUGAGUAAUGUCUGGGAAACGGCCUGAUGGAGGGGGAUAACUACUGGAAACGGUAGCUAAUACCGCAUAACGUCGCAAGACCAAAGAGGGGGACCUUCGGGCCUCUUGCCAUCGGCUGUGCCCAGAUGGGAUUAGCUAGUAGGUGGGGUAACGGCUCACCUAGGCGACGAUCCCUAGCUGGUCUGAGAGGAUGACCAGCCACACUGGAACUGAGACACGGUCCAGACUCCUACGGGAGGCAGCAGUGGGGAAUAUUGCACAAUGGGCGCAAGCCUGAUGCAGCCAUGCCGCGUGUAUGAAGAAGGCCUUCGGGUUGUAAAGUACUUUCAGCGGGGAUGAAGGGAGUAAAGUUAAUACCUUGGCUCAUUGACGUUACCCGCAGAAGAAGCACCGGCUAACUCCGUG
Molecule: ribosomal RNA, 490 nt
Filed under: uncultured bacterium
Lineage: Bacteria
Description: partial 16S ribosomal RNA
Rfam family: Bacterial small subunit ribosomal RNA
Source: RNAcentral